GACGAACGCUGGCGGCGUGCUUAACACAUGCAAGUCGAACGGAAAGGCUCCAGCUUGCUGGAGUACUCGAGUGGCGAACGGGUGAGUAACACGUGGGUAAUCUGCCCUGCACUCUGGGAUAAGCCUGGGAAACUGGGUCUAAUACUGGAUAUGACCUUUCUCCUUAUGGGGUUUGGUGGAAAGUUUUUCGGUGUAGGAUGAGCCCGCGGCCUAUCAGCUUGUUGGUGGGGUGAUGGCCUACCAAGGCGACGACGGGUAGCCGGCCUGAGAGGGUGAUCGGCCACAUUGGGACUGAGAUACGGCCCAGGCUCCUACGGGAGGCAGCAGUGGGGAAUAUUGCACAAUGGGCGGAAGCCUGAUGCAGCGACGCCGCGUGAGGGAUGACGGCCUUCGGGUUGUAAACCUCUUUCAGCAGGGACGAAGCGUAAGUGACGGUACCUGCAGAAGAAGCACCGGCUAACUACGUG
Molecule: ribosomal RNA, 467 nt
Filed under: uncultured bacterium
Lineage: Bacteria
Description: partial 16S ribosomal RNA
Rfam family: Bacterial small subunit ribosomal RNA
Source: RNAcentral